GAUGAAGAACGUAGCGAAAUGCGAUACGUAAUGUGAAUUGCAGAAUUCAGAGAAUCAUCGAGUCUUUGAACGCACAUUGCGCCCCCUGGUAUUCCGGGGGGCAUGCCUGUCCGAGCGUCAUUGCUGCCCUCAAGCACGGCUUGUGUGUUGGGCCUCCGUCCUCCUCCCGGGGGACGGGCCCGAAAGGCAGCGGCGGCACCGCGUCCGGUCCUCGAGCGUAUGGGGCUUCGUCACCCGCUCUUGUAGGCCCGGCCGGCGCUUGCCGACACAUCAAUCUUUUUUCCAGGUUGACCUCGGAUCAGGUAGGGAUACCCGCUGAACUUAAGCAUAUCAAUAAGCGGAGGA
RNAcentral lists this unclassified non-coding RNA (345 nucleotides) under soil metagenome. Its description in RNAcentral is "partial contains 5.8S ribosomal RNA, internal transcribed spacer 2, and large subunit ribosomal RNA". The stretch from base 1 to 120 matches the Rfam family "5.8S ribosomal RNA", at positions 35 to 154 of the family's 154-position model. The record is from RNAcentral.